UGGGGGAUAUUGCACAAUGGGGGAAACCCUGAUGCAGCGACGCCGCGUGAGUGAAGAAGUAUUUCGGUAUGUAAAGCUCUAUCAGCAGGGAAGAAGAAAGACGGUACCUGAGUAAGAAGCCCCGGCUAACUACGUGCCAGCAGCCGCGGUAAUACGUAGGGGGCAAGCGUUAUCCGGAUUUACUGGGUGUAAAGGGAGCGUAGACGGUAUGGCAAGUCUGAAGUGAAAGCCCCGGGCUCAACCUGGGAACUGCUUUGGAAACUGUUAAACUAGAGUGCUGGAGAGGCAGGCGGAAUUCCUAGUGUAGCGGUGAAAUGCGUAGAUAUUAGGAGGAACACCAGUGGCGAAGGCGGCCUGCUGGACAGUAACUGACGUUGAGGCUCGAAAGCGUGGGGAGCAAACAGG
RNAcentral lists this ribosomal RNA (405 nucleotides) under uncultured bacterium. RNAcentral's name for it is "bacterial SSU rRNA". It matches the Rfam family "Bacterial small subunit ribosomal RNA", at positions 355 to 776 of the family's 1533-position model. The record is from RNAcentral.